AACGAACGCUGGCGGCAUGCCUAACACAUGCAAGUCGAACGAGAUCCUUCGGGGUCUAGUGGCGCACGGGUGCGUAACGCGUGGGAAUCUGCCCUUAGGUUCGGAAUAACAGUUAGAAAUGACUGCUAAUACCGGAUGAUGACGUUAAGUCCAAAGAUUUCUCGCCUGAGGAUGAGCCCGCGUAGGAUUAGCUAGUUGUUGUGGUAAAGGCGCACCAAGGCGACGAUCCUUAGCUGGUCUGAGAGGAUGAUCAGCCACACUGGGACUGAGACACGGCCCAGACUCCUACGGGAGGCAGCAGUGGGGAAUAUAGGAAAAUGGGCGCAAGCCUGAUCCAGCAAUGCCGCGUGAGUGAUGAAGGCCUUAGGGUUGUAAAGCUCUUUUACCCGGGAUAAUAAUGACAGUACCGGGAGAAUAAGCCCCGGCUAACUCCGUG
This 436-nucleotide ribosomal RNA is filed under the name uncultured bacterium. RNAcentral's name for it is "partial 16S ribosomal RNA". It matches the Rfam family "Bacterial small subunit ribosomal RNA", at positions 29 to 507 of the family's 1533-position model. The record is from RNAcentral.